AAUCAACGCUGGCGGCGUGCCUCAGACAUGCAAGUCGAACGAUUAAAGCUCCCUUCGGGGAGUGCAUAGAGUGGCGCACGGGUGAGUAACACGUAAGUAAUCUACCUUUGAGUGGGGAAUAACGUUCGGAAACGGACGCUAAUACCGCAUAAUGCAGCGGCAUCGCAAGAUGACAGUUGUUAAAGGAGCAAUCCGCUUAAAGAGGAGCUUGCGGCAGGUUAGCUGUUGGUAAGGUAACGGCUUACCAAGGCUACGAUCUGUAUCCGGUCUAAGAGGACGGUCGGACACACUGACACUGAAUAACGGGUCAGACUCCUACGGGAGGCAGCAGUCGGGAAUUUUGGGCAAUGGGCGAAAGCCUGACCCAGCAACGCCGCGUGAAGGAUGAAGUAUUUC
Molecule: ribosomal RNA, 396 nt
Filed under: uncultured bacterium
Lineage: Bacteria
Description: bacterial SSU rRNA
Rfam family: Bacterial small subunit ribosomal RNA
Source: RNAcentral